Molecule: ribosomal RNA, 561 nt
Filed under: Paracoccus sp. T5-20
Lineage: Bacteria; Pseudomonadati; Pseudomonadota; Alphaproteobacteria; Rhodobacterales; Paracoccaceae
Description: bacterial SSU rRNA
Rfam family: Bacterial small subunit ribosomal RNA
Source: RNAcentral
AAAACUCAAAGGAAUUGACGGGGGCCCGCACAAGCGGUGGAGCAUGUGGUUUAAUUCGAAGCAACGCGCAGAACCUUACCAACCCUUGACAUCCCAGGACCGGCCCAGAGAUGGGUCUUCCACUUCGGUGGCCUGGAGACAGGUGCUGCAUGGCGGUCGUCAGCUCGUGUCGUGAGAUGUUCGGUUAAGUCCGGCAACGAGCGCAACCCACGUCCCCAGUUGCCAGCAUUCAGUUGGGCACUCUGUGGAAACUGCCGGUGAUAAGCCGGAGGAAGGUGUGGAUGACCUCAAGUCCUCAUGGCCCUUACGGGUUGGGCUACACACGUGCUACAAUGGUGGUGACAGUGGGUUAAUCCCCAAAAGCCAUCUCAGUUCGGAUUGUCCUCUGCAACUCGAGGGCAUGAAGUUGGAAUCGCUAGUAAUCGCGGAACAGCAUGCCGCGGUGAAUACGUUCCCGGGCCUUGUACACACCGCCCGUCACACCAUGGGAGUUGGGUCUACCCGACGGCCGUGCGCUAACCCUUACGGGAGGCAGCGGACCACGGUAGGCUCAGCGACUGG